This 325-nucleotide ribosomal RNA is filed under the name uncultured Bacillota bacterium. RNAcentral's name for it is "bacterial SSU rRNA". It matches the Rfam family "Bacterial small subunit ribosomal RNA", at positions 28 to 351 of the family's 1533-position model. Lineage: Bacteria; Bacillati; Bacillota. The record is from RNAcentral.
GACGAACGCUGGCGGCGUGCCUAACACAUGCAAGUCGAGCGAGGGGAGUUCUUCGGAAUAAACCUAGCGGCGGACGGGUGAGUAACACGUGGGCAACCUGCCUCAUAGAGGGGAAUAGCCUUCCGAAAGGAAGAUUAAUACCGCAUAACAUUGCAGCUUCGCAUGAAGCAGUAAUUAAAGGAGUAAUCCGCUAUGAGAUGGGCCCCGCGGCGCAUUAGCUAGUUGGUGAGGUAACGGCUCACCAAGGCGACGAUGCGUAGCCGACCUGAGAGGGUGAUCGGCCACAUUGGGACUGAGACACGGCCCAGACUCCUACGGGUGGCAG